UUCCAACCAGUUUUCUUAGUCCAUCCUUGGGGGGAAGGAGAAUAGCAACAGAACUUGUAGUGGGUUGAAUGGUGUCCCUCCAAAAGAUUUCCUUGUAAGAGACUAUUCUGUAUGCAUUUUGAGGUCACCCUAUGAAGACUUAGCAGGAAAGAAGCCAUCUGGAAGUCCACGUCAGAAUCGCCCAACAGCUUGAGCUGAGACCUCCAGCCUCUAGAACUAAUUAGAGAGACUGUCUCCAGCUAGUCCAGUAACUAAGAUGACUGAGAGGAGCAGAAGAGAGUUUCUGAACAAAUCCAGGAAAAG
Mustela erminea (ermine) is the source of this 303-nucleotide long non-coding RNA. RefSeq lists it as uncharacterized. The record is from RefSeq and is a predicted model, not a curated record. The transcript has 3 exons. Lineage: Eukaryota; Metazoa; Chordata; Mammalia; Carnivora; Mustelidae.